AUUGAACGCUGGCGGCAGGCCUAACACAUGCAAGUCGAGCGAGCGGCGGACGGGUGAGUAAUGUCUGGGAAACUGCCGGAUGGAGGGGGAUAACUACUGGAAACGGUAGCUAAUACCGCAUACCCUACGAUGUGCCCAGAUGGGAUUGGCUAGUAGGUGGGGUAACAGCUCACCUAGGCGACGAUCCCUAGCGGGUCUGAGAGGAUGACCAGCCACACUGGAACUGAGACACGGUCCGUAUUCCUACGGGAGGCAGCAGUGGGGAAUUUUGCACAAUGGGCGCAAGCCUGAUGCAGCCAUGCCGCGUGUGUGAAGAAGGCUUUCGGGUUGUAAAGCACUGUCAGCGGGGAGGCGUUACCCGCAGAAGAAGCAACGGCUAACUCCGUGCCAGCAGCCGCGGUAAUAC
RNAcentral lists this ribosomal RNA (406 nucleotides) under uncultured bacterium. RNAcentral describes it as "partial 16S ribosomal RNA". It matches the Rfam family "Bacterial small subunit ribosomal RNA", at positions 30 to 526 of the family's 1533-position model. The record is from RNAcentral.